ACAAACUUGGUCAUUUAGAGGAAGUAAAAGUCGUAACAAGGUUUCCGUAGGUGAACCUGCGGAAGGAUCAUUACCAAUCUCAGUGAGCCUGGACGAUUCGUUCAUGGUCUCACGAAAUCUUGUAUUUAAAACCCGCUCAUAUAACUAAAAACAUGUAGUAAUAUGAUAAUUAAAGAUCACUUUCAACAACGGAUCUCUUGGCUCUCUUAGAGGAAGUAAAAGUCGUAACAAGGUUUCCGUAGGUGAACCUGCGGAAGGAUCAUUACCAAUCUCAGUGAGCCUGGACGAUUCGUUCAUGGUCUCACGAAAUCUUGUAUUUAAAACCCGCUCAUAUAACUAAAAACAUGUAGUAAUAUGAUAAUUAAAGAUCACUUUCAACAACGGAUCUCUUGGCUCUCGCAUCGAUGAAGAACGCAGC
This 418-nucleotide unclassified non-coding RNA is filed under the name uncultured fungus. RNAcentral describes it as "partial contains small subunit ribosomal RNA, internal transcribed spacer 1, and 5.8S ribosomal RNA". The stretch from base 1 to 73 matches the Rfam family "Eukaryotic small subunit ribosomal RNA", at positions 1759 to 1831 of the family's 1831-position model. The record is from RNAcentral. Lineage: Eukaryota; Fungi.